This is a small nucleolar RNA of Aotus nancymaae (Ma's night monkey), 129 nucleotides long. Its record names the gene U8. It matches the Rfam family "U8 small nucleolar RNA". From Rfam's summary of the family: U8 is a member of the C/D class of snoRNA which contain the C (UGAUGA) and D (CUGA) box motifs. Lineage: Eukaryota; Metazoa; Chordata; Mammalia; Primates; Aotidae. The record is from Ensembl.
UUGUCAGGUAGGAUAACCCUUACCUCUGUUUGGAGGGCAGUAUUAGGACAACAUGAUUGGAGUCGCAUGAUACGAUUAAUGUCUGCUGCAUAAUCAGAACUCGCAUCACCCUGAUUGCUCCUAUCUUCC